This is an RNA transcript of Cataglyphis hispanica, 3644 nucleotides long. It is a transcript of the gene named tropomodulin, with no coding region annotated. The record is from RefSeq and is a predicted model, not a curated record. The transcript is spliced from 11 exons. Lineage: Eukaryota; Metazoa; Arthropoda; Insecta; Hymenoptera; Formicidae.
CGUUUCGCGCGGAACUUGGACUCCCGGAAUAGUUCCGUCGCGCUGUAAAAGUUUUUCGCCGCACGCCGAAAUCGGAACGCGGCUGGUGACGCGUAGACAAACCGUGGUGUUUGUCGCUAUCUUCUGUAACCGUUCACAGCGAGACCUCUUUGCGAUCAGAAAUACGUUUCUCAAUUUUUGAUGGAAGUGGACACGGAGAACGUCAGGAUGGGCGAGACGGACGCGUUGAUGAGGACUGAUGAUGGCAUCAUCAAUAGCAACGAUAACAAUACUGAGGCGCCCACCGUCGAGGAAUCGUACGAGAUCACCACUACCAGACGCAAAACUAUCCGCACCAGCUAUAAGAUCCAGGAGACUUCCUCAUCAACCAAAACAACUACCAUGACGACAGCAGCCAAGCUGUAUGGCAAGGAUUUGAGCGAAUAUGAUGACAUUGAUGUGGAUCAAUUAUUGGCAGAGCUCACGCCAGAAGAACUAAAUAUAUUGGCCAAGGAAGUGGAUCCUGAUGACAGCUUUAUGCCUCCUUCGCAACGUUGCAGUUACGAAUGUAACAAGAGUCCUACAGGGCCACUGAAUCGAAAGAAACUCAUUGAACAUAUCAACAAGCAAGCUCUAGAGACACCUGAUAUUCCAGAAUUGAAACCAUAUGUACCUGGUGUAAUUAGAGGAAAAAAAUGGGUACCACCACCACAAGAGAACAUAAAAGAAAAGGAAGCAGACGAGCAAAUCGCGAUAGAUCUCGGGGAGGAAUAUGAACAAGCACUUUCGACUGCCACCCAAGAAGAAAUUAUUGAUCUUGCUGCUAUCCUUGGAUUCCAUUCUAUGAUGAAUCAGGAUCAAUAUCAUGCAUCUCUACUGAAUUCUGGACAACCAGUCGGACUCGGCUGGGAUGGAGUGACGAAAGCUAGUCAACCGAAAGUUUAUCCGAUGGAGCCGCCCAACGACACGGAUGUCGAUGCUACUAUUAAACAAGUGCGAGAUGAUGACUCUACUCUGACUGACUUAAACUGGAACAAUAUUAAAAAUAUUUCGGACGAAAAAUUCAUACAGUUGUUUGAAGGAUUGGAACUGAACACACAUCUUGAAUCGCUAAGUUUAACUAACGUUGGACUCAACGACAAGACCGCACAACGGCUGGCUGAUGCUUUAGAAAAGAAUUCGACACUCAAAGUACUCAACGUGGAGACGAAUUUCAUAAGCCCACCUGUGAUAGUAAGGCUGAUCAGGUCUCUCCUUAAGACAAAAUCCAUUGAAGAAUUUCGAUGUUCGAAUCAGAGGUCGCAAGUAUUGGGUAACAAGAUCGAGAUGGAAAUCACGCAAUUGGUAGAACAAAAUCCAACAUUGCUGCGACUUGGGUUGCAUCUGGAGUUCAACGAUGCUAGACAUCGCGUGGCUGCGCAUUUGCAACGCAACAUUGACAGGAUCUUUCGUGUGGAAGCCCAGGAACGAGCUAAGUUUGUAGUGAUCGCUGCUGGCCCUUCAAACUUCACCGUUCAUCCCGCAGAUGACUUAAAAAAUAGAGCGUAGCGCUGUUGCAGCGCAUACGGCAGUCCCGGCUCGGGGUGGCGACAUCUUAACGCGAAGUGGCGUUCGCCUAGAUCGCCUGCGUCGCAUGGGAAGAAUUUCCCGCAACUACACCAUCGGCUGGGCCAUGCAUUGAUGAUGAUCGCCACGAUGGUGGCAACGACGACGAUGACGAAGACGAUGAUAUGCCGAUAAUCGCGCGCGAGUUUCUCGAAGCGCCGUAACACGGUCUGUACACAUAUGGUAUUAUACCAAAGCGCAAUAUCGAAUUUUUAAAUUUUUUAAAUUUUUUGAGAAUUUUCUUAUAUAAUUUGGAUCUUGCGUAUCUUGAAAUUGUUACGAUUUAUGUCGUUUGAUGCUUGAUCGCGGAGGAAAAAUCAGAAGCUUUGCAUGCGAUAAAAUACAUACGUGAUAAUCUCUCGUCUUUGUGGCUUUAAAAAGAAAUACACAUAUAUACAUUUAUAUAAAUAUAAAUAUAUAUAUAUAUAUAUAUUCCUGCACCAGAGCUAUAUCGCGCGAAAAAUACUUUUAAAGACGAUGUAACAAAUUUAAACCGUCGUAUGAAUGUGACAUGUGAUACACACUGUAUCGAUUCUGUUAAUUUAUAUAUAUGAUACGACGAAUAUAUUGUUCUCUAACUGUUAGAACAUCGGAGAUAAUGAUAUUCGCGGAUGAUGCGAAAGGAGCCGGGAUAACUUUUUUAAUGUAAUGCAUACCAAGAUGUCGUUCAUCGCUUUAACGUGGCUAAUUGGAUUAUUUAAAUAUUUAUACACGAAAGAGAAGUUCUCUUUUAAUUAAUUCGACCAAACUUUUUCCCGAGCGCAUCGCUGAACGAUCGGGUGCAAAUUAUAUUCUGUGUUCCUCUCUGUUUUUUUUUUUUUUUUUCUGUCAGGAGAAUGUCUUAUUACUUCACGUUAUAUCUUUUUGCUCGCUUACUGCCUGGUUAUUGUAGAAUGUUUCAUCUUUUAUGCUUUAGAAUAAACGAAUAGCUAAAUCUAAUUGAUUUUGUUACGUCAGUAUAUGACCGAAAUGUAUCUAUAUAUCGAUAAAUUUAUAAAUAUAAAAAGAUUCGGAUUUUUCUCUUUGAAAAAUUAAAAUGAUUAAAUCGAUAAUUUUGAUUAUAAUCUUUAAUGUAGAAUAAUUAUUUUUCUAAUUAUUUCAUUUAAAUGGCAAUUGUUAACUGUAUUUUAAUUAACUUCGUGCAGCAUAAUAUGUAAACGUCAUGGCAAUGCAUUAAAAUGGAUUAAUUAGUUGUGAAUACAUGUGCAAAUUUUUCAUUAAGAAUAAAUAUUAAACGCGAUACCACCGACCCGAUCGUUCCGCUCGGCAUAUAAUGUCACUAUAGUAUUCGCUAUAAGGUACUAACUCUCGUUGUUUAAAUUAAUGAUUAAUUUAGUAUUAUAUAUAUAUAUAUAUAUAUAUAUAUAUAUAUAUAUAUAUAAUACUAAAUUAAUCAUAUAUAUAUAUAUAUGUAAUCAAUCUGUACAUAUUGUCUUCAAUGUCGUUUCUAAUCGAUCGAUGUGACCUACGUGUUAUAACGAAAGAGGAAAUGGAUUAUUAGCGCGUGAGAGAGAGGAUGACAUAAUUGUCUCUGUGUGUAUGCGCGUGCGGAUGAGAGGGAGAAAAAGGGAUCGGGAGUGCGUGGGUGAAGAUAAUUACGCGGGAAAAGUCUUACUAAGAUAGAUCACGCGCCGAUCGAUAUACUGCAGCUUGUUAAAUCCAUGGAAAUACGCGGAUCAAAAAUACUUUUGCACUAUACUCGUCUCGAGUAUCCUUGCAUUUUUGGACGAACUAAGAGCCGUGCGUAAAAAAAUUUUAUGGUUUUUAAUAAAUGACUUGCAGAGUACUUUUUGAGAAGCGUAGUUGGAUCGUGUAGUCGACAAGGAGAGGUGAAAUCGAUAAUGAAAUAGUAUUGUAAUCAUAUUUGUCUCGCUCGCGGCCUUCCGAAUACAUUCUUGAUUGUUGUAAACAUAUUCGCAUAUCUAUUCACUCUAUCACACGGAACACGCAUCACAUUACGUACACAACAUACCGAAACUCACAUGCACGCCUAUGAUCAAAGUCUUGCUGCUAAGUCUUAUCUUGUAACACGAGGUUUCAAUAAACUGCUGAGAAAAAGA